Molecule: long non-coding RNA, 473 nt
Organism: Erinaceus europaeus (western European hedgehog)
Lineage: Eukaryota; Metazoa; Chordata; Mammalia; Eulipotyphla; Erinaceidae
Exons: 3
Source: RefSeq, a predicted model, not a curated record
CCGGAGGGGUCCUCACACUGGGUGCCAUGAGAAAGGGAACACUGCUGCCUUUGGAGACCUUCCUUAACGCUCCCAGAAGAAAGAGAAGGCACUGGGACUGGGACGCCAAAAGAGGAGAGGGGCAUUUCAGAGAUAGAAUGCUCUCAUAAAAGGAUUACCUGAAGCCACAAACUGGUCGUGAGAAGCUUCGGACGGAAGCACGGGUGAGGGCGCCAGGGUCUGUUGAAAGUCGGCACUCCCGGAUGAAGGUGUCACCUGUGAGUCAGCAAAGAGAGCGGUCUCAUACACGGCAUGCAGCAGUCACUGCCUUUGUGACGUGGAAAACGAAAACAGAAGUGGUCCAGGAGGUGGCACAGUGGAGAUUCAAGAUGAAGCAUGACGCUGAUUUCUUUGGACGUACCAUCGUUUCCAAGGUGGAGUGAGAGCUUGGAUCUCGAUCUUGAGUGGAUAUCCUGGACGGAACCCUCCAAAAC